This is a long non-coding RNA of Salvia splendens (bonfire salvia), 554 nucleotides long. RefSeq lists it as uncharacterized. Lineage: Eukaryota; Viridiplantae; Streptophyta; Magnoliopsida; Lamiales; Lamiaceae. The transcript has 3 exons. The record is from RefSeq and is a predicted model, not a curated record.
UAUACUCUUGGGCUUCUCAAAUAAAAAUUUGAGUCCAAAUGUUUUUAUAAAAAAUGGCUUUGGGCCAUGACAAUCAAAAGGUCCAACAAAUAGAUAAUUAUACAAAUUUGGGGCUUUGCAACUAAAUGAGCCCAAACUAAUUUAAAUAAAUUAUGUUGAGCCCAAUACAUUUUCCAAAAUAUGGGAGUAAGCCCAAAGAUCUUCUUUUUCUUCUUCUCCUCUUCAUGAUCGACGGUUUCUUCAAGUGGAGACUCCUCAUCUUCAACUUCUCCACUCUCCAUCUUCCACCAUUAAUCCUACAAACCAAAGGUCACCCAUUACUUCUUCAUGUAACCUCUUCCCUAACUCCUCACAAUACACACUUUACAAUGAGCAAAUUGAGAGAGAGGGAGGGAGCCGAGAGGAGAAGAAGUAGAAGGAAUUGUUGCUUCCAUUUUGUUUCAACCACAACCAAGUUCAAAUUCUUGAGGUGGUUCGCACGCACGCUAGAAGUCGGAACGAGCAACUAUUUACGGAAAUUCUAAGCUUUUGAGGUUGAGCGGUGACGAGCGCGG